GUGAAUUUCCUUUUCACCCUGUCUACAGUGAUUUCAGGGAGCUACUUGUGAUGUCCUUUCCGAUGUCAGAAUUAAGGGUAGGGCAGAGGCAGAUGUAAGUACAGUACUGCCCACUCCCCUUCAAAGUCUAGUGGGUAGGCCUGGAAGCUUAUUGAGCAAAUAUGAUUUUAGUCACAAGUAGACAGGAUAGUCUGGACUAAUAAUGAAAAAUGUUAACACUACCUUGGAUUUAGAGUACUCUUCCUUUGAAGGUGUAAUUAAUUAAUACUUCCUUUGCAGAUGUAAUUCAUUAAUGCUUCACUUUGGUUUUGUUUUAGUACUUCACUUAUCCAAGGUAGGUUAAGCAAAGAAGUAUUAUUCAUUACACUGAAGUAUUAUUCAUUACACUGAAGUGAACAGUUCAGGCCUCUUCUGUCACAUCAGUUUAAAUAAGUACAACAAAGAUUUAUGACUUCAGCUGGGCGAAGUGGCUCAUGCCCGUAAUCCCAGCACUUUGGAAAGCUGAGGUGGGUGGAUGGCUUGAGCCCAGGAGUUUGAGACCAGUACUAGGCAACAUAGGUGGACCUCCGUCUUUACCAAAAAUUUAAAAAUUAACUAGGCAUAGUGGUGUGCACCUGUAGUUAGUCUCAGCUACUUGGGAGUCUGAGGUGGGAGGAUUGCCUGAGCCUGGGAGUUGAAGGCUGCAGUGAGCCAUGAUCCUGCCACUGCACUCCCAUCCUGGACAACAAAGCAAGACACUGUUGCAAAAAAAAAAAAAAGAAAAGAAAAAGAAAAAAGAAUUAUCAACUCUUACUGUCCCUGAACAUUGAAGAUCAAGAGAUCAAUGACAUUCUAAAUGUUGGAAUUUACAGUCUUCCAGUCUCCUGGACCACAAUGUACAGUUAAUAGAUCUUUCCAAGCUUUAUGGUACUGAAUCCCUAAUUAGCAUUCCACUGAAGAGCUCUUAAGGAACUGAAAAGGAACUGCUGCGUACCACUCCUGCUGAUGGGUAGGUUUACAUAGGGUAAUUUCUUGGAUCCAAAACAAAAUCUGUGUAUUUAUUUCUUUGAAAACAUCAUUUGUCGACCGUCCUUUCACUG
Molecule: long non-coding RNA, 1079 nt
Filed under: Homo sapiens (human)
Lineage: Eukaryota; Metazoa; Chordata; Mammalia; Primates; Hominidae
Description: HSALNT0374856
Source: RNAcentral